RNAcentral lists this ribosomal RNA (479 nucleotides) under uncultured bacterium. RNAcentral describes it as "partial 16S ribosomal RNA". It matches the Rfam family "Bacterial small subunit ribosomal RNA", at positions 29 to 523 of the family's 1533-position model. The record is from RNAcentral.
AACAAACGCUGGCGGCGUGCCUAAUACAUGCAAGUCGAACGGGAAAAGGCUUCGGCCGAGUACUAGUGGCGCACGGGUGAGUAAUACGUUGAUAAUCUGCCUUAAGGUGGGGAAUAACCAGUCGAAAGACUGGCUAAUACCGCAUAAGACCACAGAAUCCAAGGAUUCAGAGGUUAAAGGAGCAAUCCGCCAUAAGAUGAGUCAAUGUGGGAUUAGCUAGUUGGUGAGGUAAUGGCUCACCAAGGCUUUGAUCCCUAGCUGGUCUGAGAGGAUGAGCAGCCACACUGUAACUGAGAUACGGUCCAGACUCCUACGGGAGGCAGCAGUAGGGAAUAUUGCACAAUGGGGGAAACCCUGAUGCAGCGACGCCGCGUGAGUGAUGAAGGCCUUCGGGUCGUAAAGCUCUGUCGUAUGGGAAUAAUAAAUGAAUGUACCAUGCAAGAAAGGGUCGGCUAACUUCGUGCCAGCAGCCGCGGUAA